GAUGAACGCUGGCGGCGUGCCUAAUACAUGCAAGUCGAGCGAACAGACGAGGAUCUUGCUCCUCUGACGUUAGCGGCGGACGGGUGAGUAACACGUGGAUAACCUACCUAUAAGACUGGGAUAACUUCGGGAAACCGGAGCUAAUACCGGAUAAUAUAUUGAACCUCAUGGUUCAAUAGUGAAAGACGGUUUUGCUGUCACUUAUAGAUGUAUCCGCGCCGCAUUAGCUAGUUGGUAAGGUAACGGCUUACCAAGGCAACGAUGCGUAGCCGACCUGAGAGGGUGAUCGGCCACACUGGAACUGAGACACGGUCCAGACUCCUACGGGAGGCAGCAGUAGGGAAUAUUCCGCAAUGGGCGAAAGCCUGACGGAGCAACGCCGCGUGAGUGAUGAAGGUCUUCGGAUCGUAAAACUCUGUUAUUAGGGAAGAACAAAUGUGUAAGUAACUAUGCACGUCUUGACGGUACCUAAUCAGAAAGCCACGGCUAACUACGUG
Molecule: ribosomal RNA, 497 nt
Filed under: uncultured bacterium
Lineage: Bacteria
Description: partial 16S ribosomal RNA
Rfam family: Bacterial small subunit ribosomal RNA
Source: RNAcentral